RNAcentral lists this ribosomal RNA (449 nucleotides) under uncultured bacterium. RNAcentral's name for it is "partial 16S ribosomal RNA". It matches the Rfam family "Bacterial small subunit ribosomal RNA", at positions 29 to 523 of the family's 1533-position model. The record is from RNAcentral.
AAUGAACGCUGGCGGCAGGCCUAACACAUGCAAGUCGAACGGAUCCUUCGGGAUUAGUGGCGGACGGGUGAGUAACGCGUGGGAACAUACCCAAAGGUACGGAAUAGCCUCGGGAAACUGGGAGUAAUACCGUAUGUGCUCGAAAGAGGAAAGAUUUAUCGCCUUUGGAGUGGCCCGCGUUGGAUUAGGUAGUUGGUGGGGUAAUGGCCUACCAAGCCGACGAUCCAUGGCUGGUUUGAGAGGAUGAUCAGCCACACUGGGACUGAGACACGGCCCAGACUCCUACGGGAGGCAGCAGUGGGGAAUCUUAAACAAUGGGGGAAACCCUGAUCUAGCCAUGCCGCGUGAUCGAUGAAGGCCUUAGGGUUGUAAAGAUCUUUCAGGUGGGAAGAUAAUGACUGUACCACCAGAAGAAGCCCCGGCUAACUCCGUGCCAGCAGCCGCCGUAA